This 71-nucleotide transfer RNA is filed under the name Lepidogalaxias salamandroides (salamanderfish). Its description in RNAcentral is "tRNA-Ser". It matches the Rfam family "tRNA". From Rfam's summary of the family: Transfer RNA (tRNA) molecules are approximately 80 nucleotides in length. Their secondary structure includes four short double-helical elements and three loops (D, anti-codon, and T loops). Lineage: Eukaryota; Metazoa; Chordata; Actinopteri; Lepidogalaxiiformes. The record is from RNAcentral.
AAGAAAAUGGCAGAGCGGCUAUGCAGUUGGUUUGAAACUUACUUAUGGAGGUUCGACCCCUUCUUUUCUCG